CCUACGGGUGGCAGCAGUGGGGAAUAUUGCACAAUGGGCGCAAGCCUGAUGCAGCCAUGCCGCGUGUGUGAAGAAGGCCUUCGGGUUGUAAAGCACUUUCAGCGGGGAGGAAGGCGGUGAGGUUAAUAACCUCAUCGAUUGACGUUACCCGCAGAAGAAGCACCGGCUAACUCCGUGUCAGCAGCCGCGGUAAUACGGAGGGUGCAAGCGUUAAUCGGAAUUACUGGGCGUAAAGCGCACGCAGGCGGUCUGUCAAGUCGGAUGUGAAAUCCCCGGGCUCAACCUGGGAACUGCAUUCGAAGCUGGCAGGCUAGAGUCUUGUAGAGGGGGGUAGAAUUCCAGGUGUAGCGGUGAAAUGCGUAGAGAUCUGGAGGAAUACCGGUGGCGAAGGCGGCCCCCUGGACAAAGACUGACGCUCAGGUGCGAAAGCGUGGGGAGCAAACAGGAUUAGAUACCCUAGUAGUC
This 465-nucleotide ribosomal RNA is filed under the name uncultured Klebsiella sp. RNAcentral describes it as "bacterial SSU rRNA". It matches the Rfam family "Bacterial small subunit ribosomal RNA", at positions 338 to 795 of the family's 1533-position model. The record is from RNAcentral. Lineage: Bacteria; Pseudomonadati; Pseudomonadota; Gammaproteobacteria; Enterobacterales; Enterobacteriaceae.